Molecule: ribosomal RNA, 154 nt
Filed under: Escherichia coli
Lineage: Bacteria; Pseudomonadati; Pseudomonadota; Gammaproteobacteria; Enterobacterales; Enterobacteriaceae
Also listed under: 1 other name
Description: partial 16S ribosomal RNA
Rfam family: Bacterial small subunit ribosomal RNA
Source: RNAcentral
GCCCGUCACACCAUGGGAGUGGGUUGCAAAAGAAGUAGGUAGCUUAACCUUCGGGAGGGCGCUUACCACUUUGUGAUUCAUGACUGGGGUGAAGUCGUAACAAGGUAACCGUAGGGGAACCUGCGGUUGGAUCACCUCCUUACCUUAAAGAAGC